CACCGCGGUCAAACGAGCUAGCGCCCAAGCGGAUGACCACCGGCGUAAAGAGUGGUUAAGGAAACCUCCCUACUAAAGCUGAACACCCACAAAGCUGUGAUACGCAUCCGAUGGUCUGAAACCCCACCACGAAAGUGGCUUUAAUCAACCUGAACCCACGAUAGCCAGGACA
Molecule: ribosomal RNA, 172 nt
Filed under: Diaphus brachycephalus
Lineage: Eukaryota; Metazoa; Chordata; Actinopteri; Myctophiformes; Myctophidae
Description: partial 12S rRNA
Source: RNAcentral